Molecule: long non-coding RNA, 1125 nt
Filed under: Linum usitatissimum (flax)
Lineage: Eukaryota; Viridiplantae; Streptophyta; Magnoliopsida; Malpighiales; Linaceae
Description: long non-coding RNA (LUSI_LNC006892)
Source: RNAcentral
UCUUAGAGGCAGCCACCUCACUGAUUGAUGUUCAAUUUAGAUUGGAAGAUAAGGGAGGUGGUAACCCUUUUUUUAUUUAAAAUGACAACCUUAUUUUUCGAAAGNNNNNNNNNNNNNNNNNNNNNNNNNNNNNAACCUUAUUUUUCGAAAGAGGGAGAAGAAGAAGAAAUUUUUUAUCAAUUACAACGGAAACUCUCCCAAUUUUCCUCCAAAAUCCAAUUACAUUCUGAAUUCAAAACACCCCAAUCUCACUAAACCUAUUACAAAAAAACAACAACACAUUAAAAGCCCAAAAAGAAACAAAAAAAACAAAACGGAGAAAAAAUAUCAAGAUUGAAAAGUGUUGGAUCCACUAAUAGGCACUUUCGUCAGACUCCCGAGACUCACUGAAUUUCCAAAAUUCCUGGAACAAGAAACAGAAGUUUAGUCCACACCACUGGAACUUUGAAGAACAAUCGCUAACGUUAAAAGGUCGGUGCUGCCAAACGAACCUUUUUCUAAUUCACAAUCAUUCACAUAUCAUUGAUAUUCUAUUUCAACAUUUAUCAAUAUACUUUCUAGGUUUUAUGCUAUAUUGACUGUUUUAUUACCACUUAAAUUGCUCUUAACUUGAUAUUCACAACUACGAAAUGGUUAAAUAGUCAACUUAUACAAAUAAUGAAUUCAAGGUAAAAUGUAACUUUUUCGUUCAAAAAAGGCUGUUGAAAAAAUAGAUUAACAAUGGAUUAAACAACCUCCUAUUACCAUUUUCAUAUAAUUUACACCGAGAACUCAAGAAUUAUAAGGCUACUCAUACAAAUCAAAGUAAAAUAAGUGCUUUUUGUUAAAUGUGAUUGCUAAAAUUUUCAUAAAAGUGACAAAAUAAUCAGUUGUUCAAACGGAAAAUCAUCUUCACGACACUUAGAUUACCGAUUUAGUUUUAAUAAGAAAGAUAGUCAAGUUUUCAUAUUUUACGCAACCUAAUCAACCAAGGACAAAGUCGCUAAUAUCUAUCGAGCAAAAUCAGAACAAUUAGAUUUUAGGUAUUUUACCUUUCUGAAGGUCAUCUCCUCUCUUAUUCGCACUUUUAUUGGUUUCCUCCGGUGAGUCAGGUCAGCGUCUCCCAUUUUCUCAUCACCGAUUUCC